UUUUAGAAUUUAAUUUAAAGUCUAACCUGCCCACUGAAUUUUUUUUUAAAUGGCCGCAGUAUUUUAACUGUGCAAAGGUAGCAUAAUCAUUAGUCUUUUAAUUGAAGGCUGGAAUGAAUGGUUGAAUGAAAUAUUAACUGUUUCAUAAAAAUUAAAAUUAAAAUUUUAUUUUUUAGUCAAAAAGCUAAAAUAAAAUUAAAAGACGAGAAGACCCUAUAAAUCUUUAUAUUUUUUAUAUUUUAAUUAUAUAGAUAAAUUAAAUUAUUAUUGAAAAAAUAUUUUAUUGGGGUGAUAUUAAAAUUUAAUAAACUUUUAAUUUAUAAUUAACAUUAAUUAAUGAAUUAUUGAUCCAUUUAUUAUGAUUAAAAAAUUAAGUUACUUUAGGGAUAACAGCGUAAUUUUUUUAGAGAGUUCAUAUUGAUAAAAA
RNAcentral lists this ribosomal RNA (427 nucleotides) under Megaselia sp. 32 SH-2017. RNAcentral's name for it is "partial 16S ribosomal RNA". Lineage: Eukaryota; Metazoa; Arthropoda; Insecta; Diptera; Phoridae. The record is from RNAcentral.